CCGCUCAAUUCGCUGCGUAUAUCGCUUGCUGAUUACGUGCAGCUUUCCCUUCAGGCGGGAUUCAUACAGCGGCCAGCCAUCCGUCAUCCAUAUCACCACGUCAAAGGGUGACAGCAGGCUCAUAAGACGCCCCAGCGUCGCCAUAGUGCGUUCACCGAAUACGUGCGCAACAACCGUCUUCCGGAGCCUGUCAUACGCGUAAAACAGCCAGCGCUGGCGCGAUUUAGCCCCGACAUAGCCCCACUGUUCGUCCAUUUCCGCGCAGACGAUGACGUCACUGCCCGGCUGUAUGCGCGAGG
Molecule: ribosomal RNA, 299 nt
Filed under: Escherichia coli 7-233-03_S3_C2
Lineage: Bacteria; Pseudomonadati; Pseudomonadota; Gammaproteobacteria; Enterobacterales; Enterobacteriaceae
Description: partial 16S ribosomal RNA
Source: RNAcentral